RNAcentral lists this ribosomal RNA (100 nucleotides) under uncultured bacterium. Its description in RNAcentral is "partial 16S ribosomal RNA". It matches the Rfam family "Bacterial small subunit ribosomal RNA", at positions 1384 to 1482 of the family's 1533-position model. The record is from RNAcentral.
UACACACCGCCCGUCACACCAUGGGAGUUGGCUUUACCCGAAGCAGGUGUGCUAACCGCAAGGAGGCAGCCUACCACGGUAAGGUCAGUGACUGGGGGUG